UAGCCGUAAACGAUACUCGCUAGGUGUCGGCCACGGUGCGACCGUUGUCGGUGCCGUAGGGAAGCCGCGAAGCGAGCCACCUGGGAAGUACGGCCGCAAGGCUGAAACUUAAAGGAAUUGGCGGGGGAGCACCACAACGGGUGGAGCUUGCGGUUUAAUUGGAUUCAACGCCGGAAAUCUUACCGGGACCGACAGCAACAUGAAGGCCAGGCUGAAGACUUUGCCGGAUUAGCUGAGAGGAGGUGCAUGGCGUAGUCGUGU
This 261-nucleotide ribosomal RNA is filed under the name uncultured archaeon. RNAcentral's name for it is "partial 16S ribosomal RNA". It matches the Rfam family "Archaeal small subunit ribosomal RNA", at positions 748 to 1009 of the family's 1478-position model. The record is from RNAcentral.